AAAAAGAUAAGCUAAUUAAGCUUUUAGGUUCAUACCCUAAUUAUAGAAGUAUUAAUCUUCUUCUUUUUA
This 69-nucleotide transfer RNA is filed under the name Ghauriana sinensis. RNAcentral describes it as "tRNA-Met". The record is from RNAcentral. Lineage: Eukaryota; Metazoa; Arthropoda; Insecta; Hemiptera; Cicadellidae.